Molecule: ribosomal RNA, 439 nt
Filed under: uncultured bacterium
Lineage: Bacteria
Description: partial 16S ribosomal RNA
Rfam family: Bacterial small subunit ribosomal RNA
Source: RNAcentral
CUACGGGUCGCACCAGUGAGGAAUAUUGCACAAUGGGGGGGACCCUGAUGCAGCAACGCCGCGUAGAGGAUGACGCAUUUCGGUGUGUAAACUCCUUUUAUAUGUCAAGAAAAUGACGGUAGCAUAUGAAUAAGCACCGGCUAACUCCGUGCCAGCAGCCGCGGUAAUACGGAGGGUGCAAGCGUUACUCGGAAUCACUGGGCGUAAAGGACGCGUAGGCGGGUUGGAAAGUCAGGUGUGAAAUCCUACAGCUUAACUGUAGAACUGCACUUGAAACUUCUAAUCUAGAGUAUGGGAGGGGGAGAUGGAAUUAGUGGUGUAGGGGUAAAAUCCGUAGAUAUCACUAGGAAUACCUAAAGCGAAGGCGAUCUCCUGGAACAUUACUGACGCUAAGGCGUGAAAGCGUGGGGAGCAAACAGGAUUAGAUACCCGUGUAGUC